This 284-nucleotide long non-coding RNA is filed under the name Homo sapiens (human). RNAcentral's name for it is "HSALNT0368332". Lineage: Eukaryota; Metazoa; Chordata; Mammalia; Primates; Hominidae. The record is from RNAcentral.
AGGGAGUGGAGCUGGGAACUACUACCAGCAGGCAGGCCCAGGAUCCCGAGUGUGUCCUGAGAGUCAGUGCCUGGUACUGGAUAGGAACUUCAUGGAAUGGAGCUAAUGGGCCGUAGGGCAGGUUUGAGUCGUGCCACCCUGGAGCAGAAGGUGGAGGGUAGGGAUAAGGGGGUGGAGCACCUGAUUCCAAUCUUGCCACAGGGAAGAAGAGUCUGUGAAGAAGUGCGUGAUGACUGUGUGUCCCCCCCCACCCAGAAAUUGGCAUUUGGGAGGGGUGGAUAUGG